This 429-nucleotide ribosomal RNA is filed under the name Bacteroidota bacterium. RNAcentral describes it as "Bacteroidetes bacterium partial 16S ribosomal RNA". It matches the Rfam family "Bacterial small subunit ribosomal RNA", at positions 355 to 776 of the family's 1533-position model. Lineage: Bacteria; Pseudomonadati; Bacteroidota. The record is from RNAcentral.
UAGGGAAUCUUCGGCAAUGGGGGGAACCCUGACCGAGCAACGCCGCGUGAGUGAAGAAGGUUUUCGGAUCGUAAAGCUCUGUUGUUAAGGAAGAACGAGUGUGAGAAUGGAAAGUUCAUACUGUGACGGUACUUAACCAGAAAGGGACGGCUAACUACGUGCCAGCAGCCGCGGUAAUACGUAGGUCCCGAGCGCUGUCCGGAUUUAUUGGGCGUAAAGCGAGCGCAGGCGGUUAGAUAAGUCUGAAGUUAAAGGCAGUGGCUCAACCAUUGUAGGCUUUGGAAACUGUUUAACUUGAGUGCAGAAGGGGAGAGUGGAAUUCCAUGUGUAGCGGUGAAAUGCGUAGAUAUAUGGAGGAACACCGGUGGCGAAAGCGGCUCUCUGGUCUGUAACUGACGCUGAGGCUCGAAAGCGUGGGGAGCGAACAGG